UGCGAACUCCUACGGGAGGCAGCAGUGAGGAAUAUUGGUCAAUGGGCGAGAGCCUGAACCAGCCAAGUCGCGUGAAGGAUGACUGUCUUAUGGAUUGUAAACUUCUUUUGUAGGGGAAUAAAGAAUGGUACGUGUACCAUAGUGAAUGUACCCUACGAAUAAGCAUCGGCUAACUCCGUGCCAGCAGCCGCGGUAAUACGGAGGAUGCGAGCGUUAUCCGGAUUUAUUGGGUUUAAAGGGUGCGUAGGCGGCCUGUUAAGUCAGCGGUGAAAUCUAGGGGCUUAACUCCUAAAUUGCCAUUGAUACUGGUGGGCUUGAGUGUAGAUGAGGUAGGCGGAAUGCGUGGUGUAGCGGUGGAAUGCAUAGAUAUCACGCAGAACUCCAAUUGCGAAGGCAGCUUACUAAGGUACAACUGACGCUGAAGCACGAAAGCGUGGGUAUCAAACAGGAUUAGAUACCCUGGUAGUCCUAUC
This 473-nucleotide ribosomal RNA is filed under the name uncultured bacterium. RNAcentral's name for it is "bacterial SSU rRNA". It matches the Rfam family "Bacterial small subunit ribosomal RNA", at positions 330 to 800 of the family's 1533-position model. The record is from RNAcentral.